Solanum lycopersicum (tomato) is the source of this 522-nucleotide long non-coding RNA. RefSeq lists it as uncharacterized. NCBI's taxonomy places the organism in Eukaryota, Viridiplantae, Streptophyta, Magnoliopsida, Solanales, Solanaceae. The record is from RefSeq and is a predicted model, not a curated record.
CUCUGCUCCUUACAAUAAAUCGUCUAGCCUUUCUCUUUACUUAUCUUUUAUUUACAAAUUAAUUAAGUGUUUUGGCUUUGUUAUUUUUAUCCCUUAAUAACUUGCUGAUGAUAAUUAAUUUGCUGUUUUCUACUAUCUCUAUUUAUUAACAUAGGGAAGUGCUUGUUUAAUUCUGGAGAAACAUUUCACACUGUUGAAAUAAUUUCUUAGGAUAAUGCCCAGCACGACUCAAAAGGGUAUAGUGAUGCAGCCUGGAUCUCUGAUUCAUAUGAGACGAAAUCCACUAGUAGAUAUGUUCAGCUUAGCUGAUGGUGCAAUAUCCUGAAAAUCAACUAAACAGACGAUCAUUGCUAGAUCGACUAUGGAGUCAGAGUUUGUAGCUGUGGAGCUGGUUGGUUCUGAGACUGAAUGGUUAAGAAAAUUCUUUGGAAUAUUCCUUUAAUAAAGGAUGAAUUUUCAUAUAAUUCCUUUGAUGUGAAGAAUUAAUUAUUGAUCCCUUCUAUGAAAGAUGAAUUAUUGAUC